CGCUGGCGGCGUGCUUAACACAUGCAAGUCGAACGGAAAGGCCCUGCUUUUGUGGGGUGCUCGAGUGGCGAACGGGUGAGUAACACGUGAGUAACCUGCCCUUGACUUUGGGAUAACUUCAGGAAACUGGGGCUAAUACCGGAUAGGAGCUCCUGCUGCAUGGUGGGGGUUGGAAAGUUUCGGCGGUUGGGGAUGGACUCGCGGCUUAUCAGCUUGUUGGUGGGGUAGUGGCUUACCAAGGCUUUGACGGGUAGCCGGCCUGAGAGGGUGACCGGCCACAUUGGGACUGAGAUACGGCCCAGACUCCUACGGGAGGCAGCAGUGGGGAAUAUUGCACAAUGGGCGGAAGCCUGAUGCAGCAACGCCGCGUGCGGGAUGACGGCCUUCGGGUUGUAAACCGCUUUCGCCUGUGACGAAGCGUGAGUGACGGUAAUGGGUAAAGAAGCACCGGCUAACUACGUGCCAGCAGCCGCGGUGAUACGUAGGGUGCGAGCGUUGUCCGGAUUUAUUGGGCGUAAAGGGCUCGUAGGUGGUUGAUCGCGUCGGAAGUGUAAUCUUGGGGCUUAACCCUGAGCGUGCUUUCGAUACGGGUUGACUUGAGGAAGGUAGGGGAGAAUGGAAUUCCUGGUGGAGCGGUGGAAUGCGCAGAUAUCAGGAGGAACACCAGUGGCGAAGGCGGUUCUCUGGGCCUUUCCUGACGCUGAGGAGCGAAAGCGUGGGGAGCGAACAGGCUUAGAUACCCUGGUAGUCCACGCUGUAAACGGUGGGUACUAGGUGUGGGGUCCAUUCCACGGGUUCCGUGCCGUAGCUAACGCUUUAAGUACCCCGCCUGGGGAGUACGGCCGCAAGGCUAAAACUCAAAGGAAUUGACGGGGCCCCGCACAAGCGGCGGAGCAUGCGGAUUAAUUCGAUGCAACGCGUAGAACCUUACCUGGGUUUGACAUGGAUCGGGAGUGCUCAGAGAUGGGUGUGCCUCUUUUGGGGUCGGUUCACAGGUGGUGCAUGGCUGUCGUCAGCUCGUGUCGUGAGAUGUCGGGUUAAGUCCCGCAACGAGCGCAACCCUUGUUCACUGUUGCCAGCACGUUAUGGUGGGGACUCAGUGGAGACCGCCGGGGUCAACUCGGAGGAAGGUGGGGAUGACGUCAAGUCAUCAUGCCCCUUAUGUCCAGGGCUUCACGCAUGCUACAAUGGCUGGUACAGAGAGUGGCGAGCCUGUGAGGGUGAGCGAAUCUCGGAAAGCCGGUCUCAGUUCGGAUUGGGGUCUGCAACUCGACCUCAUGAAGUCGGAGUCGCUAGUAAUCGCAGAUCAGCAACGCUGCGGUGAAUACGUUCCCGGGGCUUGUACACACCGCCCGUCAAGUCAUGAAAGUUGGUAACACCCGAAGCCGGUGGCCUAACCGUUGUGGGGGAGCCGUCGAAGGUGGGACUGGUGAUUAGG
RNAcentral lists this ribosomal RNA (1438 nucleotides) under uncultured organism. RNAcentral's name for it is "16S ribosomal RNA". It matches the Rfam family "Bacterial small subunit ribosomal RNA". The record is from RNAcentral.